GAGGGUCUAGCUCAAUGGUAGAGCACAUGCUGAGAAUGCAUGAGGUCCUCGGUUCAAUCCCCAGUGCCUCU
RNAcentral lists this transfer RNA (71 nucleotides) under Camelus bactrianus (Bactrian camel). It matches the Rfam family "tRNA". Rfam says of the family: Transfer RNA (tRNA) molecules are approximately 80 nucleotides in length. The record is from Rfam by way of RNAcentral. Lineage: Eukaryota; Metazoa; Chordata; Mammalia; Artiodactyla; Camelidae. RNAcentral also lists the same sequence under 2 other names.